AUCCAACUGACGAGUCCCAAAUAGGACGAAAAGCGCAUUUUAGAU
Molecule: non-coding RNA, 45 nt
Filed under: Schistosoma mattheei
Lineage: Eukaryota; Metazoa; Platyhelminthes; Trematoda; Strigeidida; Schistosomatidae
Source: RNAcentral